GUCCACGCCGUAAACGAUGAUCACUAGAUGUUGGGAGUAUUGACCCUUUCAGCGUCGCAGCUAACGCAUUAAGUGAUCCGCCUGGGGAGUACGGCCGCAAGGCUAAAACUCAAAGGAAUUGACGGGGGCCCGCACAAGCGGUGGAGUAUGUGGUUUAAUUCGACGCAACGCGAAGAACCUUACCUAGGUUAGAAAUCAACUGGACGAUUUACAGAGAUGUAUUUCUUCCCCGCAAGGGGACCGGUUGACAGGUGCUGCAUGGCUGUCGU
RNAcentral lists this ribosomal RNA (269 nucleotides) under uncultured bacterium. RNAcentral's name for it is "partial 16S ribosomal RNA". It matches the Rfam family "Bacterial small subunit ribosomal RNA", at positions 793 to 1055 of the family's 1533-position model. The record is from RNAcentral.